GUUGCUUCUUGGCCUUUUGGCUAAGAUCAAGUGUUGUAUCUGUUUAGAAGGCCAAAUUGGGGGCCCAGAUUCUACAUUGGCAAAACACUUCGUUAUUUUUUAAAUUAAUUAAUUUUUUGGGAACAUUU
Molecule: small nuclear RNA, 128 nt
Filed under: Fukomys damarensis (Damara mole-rat)
Lineage: Eukaryota; Metazoa; Chordata; Mammalia; Rodentia; Bathyergidae
Description: U2 spliceosomal RNA
Rfam family: U2 spliceosomal RNA
About the family: U2 is a small nuclear RNA (snRNA) component of the spliceosome (involved in pre-mRNA splicing). Complementary binding between U2 snRNA (in an area lying towards the 5' end but 3' to hairpin I) and the branchpoint sequence (BPS) of the intron results the bulging out of an unpaired adenosine, on the BPS, which initiates a nucleophilic attack at the intronic 5' splice site, thus starting the first of two transesterification reactions that mediate splicing.
Source: Rfam by way of RNAcentral